GCAGGGAGUGGUGGCCCACACCUGUCAUCCCAGCAGCUCAGGAGGCUGAGGCAGGAGGAUCACGAGUUCAAAGGCAGCCUCAGCAAGGAUGAAGCCCUAAGCAGCUCAGUGAGCCCCUGUCUCUA
RNAcentral lists this small RNA (125 nucleotides) under Marmota monax (woodchuck). Lineage: Eukaryota; Metazoa; Chordata; Mammalia; Rodentia; Sciuridae. The record is from RNAcentral.